This 886-nucleotide ribosomal RNA is filed under the name uncultured bacterium. Its description in RNAcentral is "bacterial SSU rRNA". It matches the Rfam family "Bacterial small subunit ribosomal RNA", at positions 8 to 883 of the family's 1533-position model. The record is from RNAcentral.
AGAGUUUGAUCAUGGCUCAGAUUGAACGCUGGCGGCAGGCCUAACACAUGCAAGUCGAACGGUAACAGGAAGAAGCUUGCUUCUUUGCUGACGAGUGGCGGACGGGUGAGUAAUGUCUGGGAAACUGCCUGAUGGAGGGGGAUAACUACUGGAAGCGGUAGCUAAUACCGCAUAACGUCGCAAGACCAAAGAGGGGGACCUUCGGGCCUCUUGCCAUCGGAUGUGCCCAGAUGGGAUUAGCUAGUAGGUGGGGUAACGGCUCACCUAGGCGACGAUCCCUAGCUGGUCUGAGAGGAUGACCAGCCACACUGGAACUGAGACACGGUCCAGACUCCUACGGGAGGCAGCAGUGGGGAAUAUUGCACAAUGGGCGCAAGCCUGAUGCAGCCAUGCCGCGUGUAUGAAGAAGGCCUUCGGGUUGUAAAGUACUUUCAGCGGGGAGGAAGGGAGUAAAGUUAAUACCUUUGCUCAUUGACGUUACCCGCAGAAGAAGCACCGGCUAACUCCGUGCCAGCAGCCGCGGUAAUACGGAGGGUGCAAGCGUUAAUCGGAAUUACUGGGCGUAAAGCGCACGCAGGCGGUUUGUUAAGUCAGAUGUGAAAUCCCCGGGCUCAACCUGGGAACUGCAUCUGAUACUGGCAAGCUUGAGUCUCGUAGAGGGGGGUAGAAUUCCGGGUGUAGCGGUGAAAUGCGUAGAGAUCUGGAGGAAUACCGGUGGCGAAGGCGGCCCCCUGGACGAAGACUGACGCUCAGGUGCGAAAGCGUGGGGAGCAAACAGGAUUAGACACCCUGGUAGUCCACGCCGUAAACGAUGUCGACUUGGAGGUUGUGCCCUUGAGGCGUGGCUUCCGGAGCUAACGCGUUAAGUCGACCGCCUGGGGAGUAC